UACAGAGGGGGCAAGCGUUAUUCGGAAUUAUUGGGCGUAAAGGGCGCGUAGGCGGCUUUUCAAGUGACGGGUGAAAUCCCUCGGCUUAACCGAGGAACUGCCUGUCAGACUGGAAGGCUUGAGACCGGGAGAGGUGAGUGGAAUUCCCAGUGUAGCGGUGAAAUGCGUAGAUAUUAGGAAGAACACCGGUGGCGAAGGCGGCCCACUGGUCCGGUACUGACGCUGAGGUGCGAAAGCGUGGGGAGCAAACAGG
Molecule: ribosomal RNA, 253 nt
Filed under: uncultured bacterium
Lineage: Bacteria
Description: partial 16S ribosomal RNA
Rfam family: Bacterial small subunit ribosomal RNA
Source: RNAcentral